This 2272-nucleotide long non-coding RNA is filed under the name Mastacembelus armatus (zig-zag eel). Its description in RNAcentral is "lncRNA (ENSMAMG00000027761.1)". The record is from RNAcentral. Lineage: Eukaryota; Metazoa; Chordata; Actinopteri; Synbranchiformes; Mastacembelidae.
UGCCUCUGAAACACCUGUCAUUGUGCAGAGUGGCUGGAUAUUUUGUGUCCAUUUUAAAUUAUUUAAAUUAAUAAACCAUUGACAUUUGAGGAGUGAAGUGGAAAACAUUGACUCAUAUUUGCUCCUUUUACAUUGCAUGUGUAAUUUUUUUUGUUUAAAAUGUAACUCCAGUCAUACUGUAUGUUCUGCAAGGAUCAGUGUAGCUGCUGACAGUGGCUACUAGGGCAAACCUUUUACUGUUCAGUGACGUAUAAUGGCGCUUCAUUUUGUUUAUAGUGGUCUCUUGUUCUGCAGUGAUGGAAUAACCAUUAUGAGGAAACCAGUAAUUGCAUCCACCCCAGCAAACCAGUGAGUGAAAGUGCACCCGGUAGAGCAUCAUUGGACCAUCUAAUGAAGGGCUCCACUGGCCUCUACUGCAGACAUGCAGCAGCCCACCCACCUGUGUAGAAAUAGCAGCCUGCCAUGCAGCCUGAUGGACACGCAUCAAGAAUGCUUGAGAUCUGCACUCAGAAUCGCAGGCAUUUAAAAACAGUUGGCAGAUCCAGCAACAGCUCAAAGUGUCCUGAUCAUCUGCUACAAUAAGAGGCUGCCAUCUGAGAAACGCUGAGGUACAGUGCGCAGGCUCUCCCAGCGCUGUUCUCCAGCAUCAAACCCCAGAGCAACGCACAGCGGGUCUCGGCCAACACGUUCCAGGUUUGAUUGUCGGCCUGUGAACCCGAAGAAAAUUCUGAAAAUCAAACAUAUAGAGAGGACUGGAAGAAAAAAAUCUCCUGGAGAGCUCUUUUGGAGUGGGAGAGCUGCUGCGUUGUCUCUUUUUUUUUCUUUCACUGAACUCUCCUCAGAAGGUUAGAGGAGCAUGUAACUGAAACAAGUGGAGCCCUCAGUGAUUUCAGCAUUCUGUCUCCCCCAUCUGUGCCUACAUUCUCUGCUACAGAUAGGGACGUUUUGAUAAUUACAUAUAAUUAUAAUUUCUGUGGGAGACAGAUCUGCCUCUGUCUAUUAUUGCCAACACCUCCAACACAAUAACUUCACACAUUUACAUAUUUCUCAACAAAAGUGAUAUUCUUUGAACCUCGGAGACAAAUCAGGAAUAAUUUUGCUUAGAGAGAGACAUGUCACAUGGAGAAGCAAUGUGCCCUUCAUCUCACUUCUAAUUAGCUAUAUAGUUGAAUGAUACGGGGCGACUUUUUGUCCUGAAGUUGAAUGCAGAAAAUUUAAAAUCUAUGACAUUUGCCUCAUUUUGCAAUGUGUUUCACAGGCUGGGAGUCAUUUCCUCGGUUUAUGCUUACUCCAGUUUUUCAGUUGUUACAUUCUUCUAGCACUUAAGCCGAGCCUCCCUCAUUAUCGCCCCCAGCCCAGUCACAGUAACAGUCCGUACCAGGCGAGUACUGAUGCACAUUAAUCCAGCCGGAGAAAAGAUUAAAAUAAAGUACAUGGUGUAUCUAUAUAUGUGAUGAGUGCCUAGGACAAGAUAACAUGGAGAUACGUCCCUGCAGGCAUCAUUAAUGGAUAGUUCUCAUCAGUGGUGAGUCUGUUGUUUCAAUUUGAUUGUUUACAAUGCUAAACAGCACCAAAUAUAUGAAAAGAAUUAUUGAUUUAAUACGUUUUUUUCCAGAAAAGAUUUACUUACAACUUAAAUAAGUGCCAAUUCUGAAUGUAUGUAGUGCCAGACUUAAAUAGUCAUUUAGGAAUUAACAAAACAGCUAAAACUGUUUACAUUUAAUAUGACACUGGCCAUAGACUAUUGUUCAAGUGCCAUGAUCAGCACAGGAAUGUAUGGGGCUGCCAUAUUUUAUUGAAAAUAACUACAACUAAUUUUUACUGGGCUUUGUACUUACGAAAAAUAAUUCCACCCAGCAGUACGUCAGAUCUUACUUCUUUUGUUCAGUGGGACACGCAGAACAAGGCACUAAGGACUAAGAGCAAGGUGUUUUAGGAGGGCAAAAGAUGAAGUCGUGUUCAGAGUUCCCGUCUAGCAGUAAAUUAAAACCGUUUUAAUACCAUUAUCACCAGGAUUAACGCUUUACAGGUUUAUUUUUCCUGGCAUUUUCUUUUAUUGUAUUAUACAAAUUCUCAGUUUCUGAAAAAAACAAAAAAAAACAAAACACAGGUUUGAAAUUUCAACAAUUGCUGAAUGAAACUACUGAUUCAGUACAUCUUGAGUAUUCAGUAGGUUAUACAUGCUACCUGAAUGUUUCACGUGUCGUUUUAGUGGGUUAAACUGCAAAAGCGGAUACAGCGUGUAACUGCAUUGACUCAACAUCAGAAAAUA